This 428-nucleotide ribosomal RNA is filed under the name uncultured prokaryote. Its description in RNAcentral is "bacterial SSU rRNA". It matches the Rfam family "Bacterial small subunit ribosomal RNA", at positions 355 to 776 of the family's 1533-position model. The record is from RNAcentral. RNAcentral also lists the same sequence under 1 other name.
CCAGGAAUCUUGCGCAAUGGGCGAAAGCCUGACGCAGCAACGCCGCGUGGGCGAUGAAGGCCUUCGGGUCGUAAAGCCCUGUUGUCGGGGACGAAGGGCGAAGGGUUAAUAGCCCCUAGCCUGACGGUACCCGACGAGGAAGCCCCGGCUAACUACGUGCCAGCAGCCGCGGUAAUACGUAGGGGGCGAGCGUUGUCAGGAAUCACUGGGCGUAAAGAGCGUGUAGGCGGCCCGGUAAGUCUGCUGUGAAAACCCGGGGCUCAACCCCGGGCGUGCAGUGGAAACUGCCGGGCUAGAGGGCGGCAGAGGCGAGUGGAAUUCCCGGUGUAGCGGUGAAAUGCGCAGAUAUCGGGAGGAACACCAGUAGCGAAGGCGGCUCGCUGGGCCGUCCCUGACGCUGAGACGCGAAAGCUAGGGGAGCGAACAGG